RNAcentral lists this ribosomal RNA (254 nucleotides) under uncultured bacterium. Its description in RNAcentral is "partial 16S ribosomal RNA". It matches the Rfam family "Bacterial small subunit ribosomal RNA", at positions 524 to 776 of the family's 1533-position model. The record is from RNAcentral.
UACGGAGGUUCCUAGCGUUGUUCGGAAUUACUGGGCGUAAAGCGUGCGCAGGCGGUCUGUUAAGACCGAUGUGAAAUCCCCGGGCUUAACCUGGGAACUGCAUUGGUGACUGGCAGGCUUUGAGUGUGGCAGAGGGAGGUAGAAUUCCACGUGUAGCAGUGAAAUGCGUAGAGAUGUGGAGGAAUACCGAUGGCGAAGGCAGCCUCCUGGGCCAACACUGACGCUCAUGCACGAAAGCGUGGGGAGCAAACAGG